UAGUCAAUAGAUCUACGUGUAAAGAUCAUCAGAAACAUGAAACAGGCAGUACUAUAAAAGUUACCUUUUGGAAUAACUUCCAAAUAUAGAAACUUUUU
Xenia sp. Carnegie-2017 is the source of this 98-nucleotide long non-coding RNA. RefSeq lists it as uncharacterized. The record is from RefSeq and is a predicted model, not a curated record. The transcript has 3 exons. Lineage: Eukaryota; Metazoa; Cnidaria; Anthozoa; Malacalcyonacea; Xeniidae.